Molecule: long non-coding RNA, 1174 nt
Organism: Hibiscus syriacus
Lineage: Eukaryota; Viridiplantae; Streptophyta; Magnoliopsida; Malvales; Malvaceae
Exons: 2
Source: RefSeq, a predicted model, not a curated record
AGAAAAUCAAACUCCUGAUUUGCAGUCUUCUUCCCCGAUUCUCAUAAACAAUGUUGCUGAUUCCCUUUCUCUUAUUGCUCUCUUCGUUAUGGUUAAUCAUCAAGAAGUUAACCACGAAAAGGGUAAUCUUCCAAGCCCCCCAAGCUUCCUUCUGGGUAACUUGCAUCAACUCGGUGCAUUCCCACACGUCAACAUGGAAACUCUCCAAGAAAUACGGCCGGCUGCUUCUUCAACUUGGUUCGACGCCGACCGUCUUCGUAUCGUCGUCCAUCACCGCGAAGAGAUAUUGAAAACUCACGACUUCGAAUGUUGCAAUCGACCUCCAUUAACUGGCCCUAAAAGGCUUACUUAAAUUCCAAGACAUUGCUUCGCACCCUACGGACAUUACUGGAGAGAGAGCGAAAACUAUGUGUUACUGAGCUUUUCAGCAUGAAAAGGGUGCAAUCUUUUAAAUCGUAGGAAGAAGAGGUCGAUUCGUUAAUCAAAUCGAUCUCGGAGUCGGCUACAUUAGCUAAUCCAGUCGAUCUCAGCAAAGCUUCCUUUUCGCUCACGGCUAGCAAUCUUUAGAAUUGCUUUCGGGAAAAGAUUUCAGGGGAGUGAACUGAUAACGAUAAGCUACAGAAACUGGUAUUUGAGGUUGAAAAUAUGGGGAGCUUUUGCUUCGGUUUCUCCCAUAUGUGGGAAAAGUGGUUGACUGUUUACUGAUCUCCAUAGAAGGCUGAAGAUAGCUUUCGUGAACUUGAUGCUGUUUUCCAGCAGGUUAUCGAUGAACAUCUCGAAUCUGGAACGGUUGUGCACAACGAAGAUGACAUGGUCAAUGUACUGUUGAGAAUGGAGAAAGAUCAAACCGAGAAUAGUGCUAUUCAUCUUACCAGAGAUCAUAUCAGGCAAUCCUCAUGGAUAUAUUCGUAGCUGGAAUCGACACAAGUGCUAUUACCAUGAUCUGGGCAUGACAGAGCUAGCAAGGAAUCCAACAGCGAUGAAGAAAGCACAAAAUGAGAUUAGAACUCGCGUUGGGAAGAAAGGAAACUAACAGAAAAUGAUGUCAGUGACUUAAAUACCUCAACAUGAUCAUUAAAGAAACUUUCAGAUUACAUCUUCCAACUGUACUUCUUCUUCCAAGGGAAACUGCGUCCCAAAUAAGGAUCGGAGAUUAUGAUAUAUACCCGAAGAC